RNAcentral lists this long non-coding RNA (1298 nucleotides) under Cyanistes caeruleus (blue tit). RNAcentral describes it as "lncRNA (ENSCCEG00000009093.1)". Lineage: Eukaryota; Metazoa; Chordata; Aves; Passeriformes; Paridae. The record is from RNAcentral.
CCAGCAUCCUUUUAUUUCAAAUAUUUUGUGAGAUGACAGGAACACUUACAGUCAAAGGCUGAUCCUCCAGCCAAGUUAUUUUACUGAGAACAAAAGCCCAACCUUGCUGAAGCUGCAUUUGCUUUGCCAACAAAUUAUCUGAAGGAAGAAACCCUGGAUAUAAUGUAGCCUCUGGAUAAAUUUGCUGCAGGCAAAAAGCUUUAGGUUUUCACAGCUCCCUUUCCCUUCACAGCAGCUCUUAAACCCAUGGAUUUGAACAAGAGAAAUCAGCAGUGUUGCUGUAGAAAUCCAUAGUUAUUCUCUUCAAAUUGCUCCUUUCCUUGCAAUGGAGCCUGAUCCUCUCCCCCCAGGAUUCUCAAGGCUGUCUGGAUUUCCAGCUUUUCUCCCAAAACAAGGCUCUGCUCCUUGCCUUGGUGCAGCCUGGAGGCUCUGGCUGGAGCUGGGCAGUCACUGCUCCUGGGGAAGACUGGGAUUUGGGAGCACUGCUGCUGCAUGGCAACGAGCUUUGCUUUUGGAGAUUACUCAGAAAAUGUGAAUUCAUCCAGGGUUAAACCACAGGCUUUGAAAAACUCCUCAAGUUGCCAGCUCAGCAGUCCCUGCUGUCCCCUGAGCCUUGAUCCCUCUUCCUGCUGCUUCACUUCAACAAAAACUGAGCCCCUCCCUGCUCCAUCCAUGGGAGAGUCCUCGGUGUGAGAGAAAGUUGGGUCAGGGAUGGAUCUCUUGGUUAACUUUGGAACCAGCUUUUUCCCCUCAAUCCCCAGCUGCAGUGAUCACAUCUUGCUUUGCCCAUCCGCUCUCCCAAUCAGCAGGAUUGACUCCACAAGGUGUGAGACAGGCCUGAGCUGGCAGAAAUUACCCUGGCUUCAUGAGAUCUUCCUGCUUUCUUUUGGGGCUUCCUGACCAAAUCCAGCUCAGGCAGGAGGUCUUGACAGGCACCUUCAUCAUGUGUUUUCCUGACCUUGAUGUCUGAAGUCCUGGACCUCUUCCCAGUCUGCGAAACCUGUGUUACAAAACCAGAGCAAUUCGAGGUAAAUGAAUGGAUCCAGUCCCUGCCUGACUGCAGAGAGGGAAGAAUUUUCCUUGGAUUGUUUUCCACCCACAGAGAUAUUUACUGUAAUACCCAAAUGCUGUUUCCAGAACUCCUGCAGAUGAAAUGCAAUCUUCUGGAGCACCAGGAAAGGAGGCUGCCUUCCUGAGAAGGAGAUUUGUUGUCAGAUGUGCUGCUUGGGUGUGCAGGCUGCAUUCCCAGGAUGUUGGGAAUGCUCCUAGCUGGGAAUAAAGAGAAAUGUCCUAUUUCA